This 866-nucleotide ribosomal RNA is filed under the name uncultured Neocallimastigales. RNAcentral describes it as "partial large subunit ribosomal RNA". It matches the Rfam family "Eukaryotic large subunit ribosomal RNA", at positions 1 to 646 of the family's 3401-position model. The record is from RNAcentral. Lineage: Eukaryota; Fungi; Neocallimastigomycota; Neocallimastigomycetes; Neocallimastigales.
GUACACGCUGUGACUAGCAUAUCAAUAAGCGGAGGAAAAGGAUCGGUCCCCAGUACCUACGCUUAGGAUGUUGACGAGACUGUCGAUCUCAUCUAUACAUGACUCUGUGCAUAUCAAUAAGCGGAGGAAAAGAAACUAACAAGGAUUCCCCUAGUAACGGCGAGUGAAGCGGGAAGAGCUCAAAUUUGAAAUCUUAAAGGGUUUCCCUUUACGAAUUGUAGUUUAAAGAAGUGUUUUCUGUUGAGGUUUUGGUAAAAGUUCUUUGGAAUAGGACAUCAUAGAGGGUGAGAAUCCCGUAUUUGACCUUUACUUUCAACUUUGUGAUACACUUUCAAAGAGUCGGAUUGUUUGGGAAUGCAGUCCAAAAUGGGUGGUAAAUUUCAUCUAAAGCUAAAUAUUGGCGAGAGACCGAUAGCGAACAAGUACCGUGAGGGAAAGAUGAAAAGAACUUUGAAAAGAGAGUUAAACAGUACGUGAAAUUGUCAAAAGGGAAGCGUUUGACACCAGUGUCGUUUUUCUGAAAAUCAAUUAAAGAACUGUUUAUGCUAAGCUGUUUAGACUUUAUCAGCUAUCUGUUUAGUUUUGAGCUUUUCUUUAAUGCACUUUUCAGUUAACAAGUCAACAUCAAUUUCUUUUGCUGUAAAAAAGCUUGAGGAAGGUGGCUUGAGAUUCGUCUUAAGUGUUUAUAGCCUCUUGCCUAUGCAGUCGGAGAGAUUGAGGUCUGCAGCGUAGAUCCUUCGGGGCUAAAUGCAUUUGUGCUAAGUUAUAGCAUUUCAUAGACAACUUGUUGACUAUGAUUUGUCUUGUAGCUUACUCGCUUAUGUUAUUUUACCUACGCUUAGGAUGUUGACGAGACUGUCGAUCUC